ACAUAUAACCGGUAAACCUGUAUAAUCCCAUACAUGAUCAACAACAUGCAUAAAAAUUUUAAACUUUUCUUUUAUCAUCCAACUCAACCUGAACAUUCAUGAACAUAGUCAUAAUCAUGACCCCUCUGUGGGAUCUCAACAAUGCCCCAAAGAGCACUAUAACAUGAGAUGAGUUGGCUUACAUCUAUAUCAUCAAAUAUCUAAGAUCAUGCAUCAACAAGGGAUUACAAUACUCAUAGGGUCAAGCACAUCUAUAACCUCAAUAUACCUCAUUACAUAACAUACUGAAUCUCUUACAUUACAUUAGUACAAUUGUCAUGUCCACAAUCUAACUAUUACAUCAACAUACUUCAAAAACUC
Molecule: long non-coding RNA, 360 nt
Filed under: Manihot esculenta (cassava)
Lineage: Eukaryota; Viridiplantae; Streptophyta; Magnoliopsida; Malpighiales; Euphorbiaceae
Description: long non-coding RNA (MESC_LNC009131)
Source: RNAcentral